CAUGAGUUAGAUGGAUCAGACCCGAAACCGAGUGAUCUAGGCAUGGCCAGGUUGAAGGUGCGGUAACACGCACUGGAGGACCGAACCCACAUCUGUUGAAAAAGAUCGGGAUGAGCUGUGCCUAGGGGUGAAAGGCCAAUCAAACUCGGAGAUAGCUGGUUCUCUGCGAAAUCUAUUUAGGUAGAGCGUCGUACGAAUACCCCGGGGGGUAGAGCACUGAAUGGGUAAUGGGGGCCUACAGCCUUACUGAUCCUAAUCAAACUCCGAAUACCCGGGAGUACUAUACGGCAGACACACUGCGGAUGCUAACGUCCGUAGUGGAGAGGGAAACAACCCUGACCUACGACUAAGGCCCCUAAUUCAUGGCUAAGUGGGAAAGCAGGUGGGACGACCAAAACAACCAGGAGGUUGGCUUAGAAGCAGCCAUCCUUUAAAGAUAGCGUAACAGCUCACUGGUCUAAAUAAGUUGUCCUGCGGCGAAGAUGUAACGGGGCUCAAGCCAUGAGCCGAAGUCUAGGAUGCACAUAGUGCAUGGUAGCAGAGCGUAGUGUGACAUAGAACUUAUCUUUAUUACCGCACAGGUGGCCGUGCGAGCAUUCGUGCUCAAGUAGCCCUCCGGGCGGUAGCACAAGAUACAGUUCUUUCGAUGAAGCCGGGGCGUGAGCCAUCCGGUGGAGAGAUCACUAGUGAGAAUGAUGACAUGAGUAGCGACAAAGAGUGUGAGAGACACUCUCGCCGAAAGUCCAAGGGUUCCUGCUUAAAGCUAAUCUGAGCAGGGUAAGCCGGCCCCUAAGCCGAGGGCGAAAGCCGUAGGCGAUGGGAACUAGGUUAAUAUUCCUAGGCCAGGAGGAUGUGACGGAUCUCGAAGAUUGUUUGCCCUUAUUGGAUUGGGCAGGCCGUUAAGAGGUUCCUGGAAAUAGCCCUCCAUGAGACCGUACCCUAAACCAACACAGGUGGACUGGUAGAGAAUACCAAGGCGCUUGAGAGAACUAUCUUGAAGGAACUCGGCAAAAUACCUCCGUAAGUUCGCGAGAAGGAGGCCCAGUUUCUACGCAAGUAUUGACUGGGGGCACAAACCAGGGGGUGGCGACUGUUUACUAAAAACACAGGGCUCUGCGAAGUCGCAAGACGACGUAUAGGGUCUGACGCCUGCCCGGUGCCUGAAGGUUAAAAGGAGGGGUGAGAGCUCCGAAUUGAAGCCCAGGUAAACGGCGGCCGUAACUAUAACGGUCCUAAGGUAGCGAAAUUCCUUGUCGGGUAAGUUCCGACCUGCACGAAUGGCGUAACGACUUCCCCGCUGUCUCCAAGAUAGACUCAGCGAAAUUGAAUUGCCUGUCAAGAUGCAGGCUUCCCGCGGUUAGACGGAAAGACCCCGUGCACCUUUACUACAGCUUCACAUUGGCAUUAGGCCGAGCAUGUGCAGGAUAGGUGGUGGGCUUUGAAACCAUGACGCCAGUCAUGGUGGAGCCUCCCUUGAGAUACCACCCUUGCUCUGCUUGAUGUCUAACCG
This 1510-nucleotide ribosomal RNA is filed under the name bioreactor metagenome. RNAcentral's name for it is "bacterial LSU rRNA". It matches the Rfam family "Bacterial large subunit ribosomal RNA", at positions 694 to 2228 of the family's 2925-position model. The record is from RNAcentral.